GGGGAUUUAGCUCAGCGGUAGAGCACUUGCCUAGCAAGCGCAAGGCCCUGGGUUCGGUUCCCAGCUCCG
Molecule: non-coding RNA, 69 nt
Organism: Rattus norvegicus (Norway rat)
Lineage: Eukaryota; Metazoa; Chordata; Mammalia; Rodentia; Muridae
Source: Rfam